Molecule: ribosomal RNA, 2931 nt
Filed under: Salmonella enterica subsp. enterica serovar Newport str. CVM N18486
Lineage: Bacteria; Pseudomonadati; Pseudomonadota; Gammaproteobacteria; Enterobacterales; Enterobacteriaceae
Description: bacterial LSU rRNA
Rfam family: Bacterial large subunit ribosomal RNA
Source: RNAcentral
GGGUUGUGAGGUUAAGCGACUAAGCGUACACGGUGGAUGCCCUGGCAGUCAGAGGCGAUGAAGGGCGUGCUAAUCUGCGAUAAGCGCCGGUAAGGUGAUAUGAACCGUUAUAACCGGCGAUACCCGAAUGGGGAAACCCAGUGUGAUUCGUCACACUAUCAUUAACUGAAUCCAUAGGUUAAUGAGGCGAACCGGGGGAACUGAAACAUCUAAGUACCCCGAGGAAAAGAAAUCAACCGAGAUUCCCCCAGUAGCGGCGAGCGAACGGGGAGGAGCCCAGAGCCUGAAUCAGCAUGUGUGUUAGUGGAAGCGUCUGGAAAGGCGCGCGAUACAGGGUGACAGCCCCGUACACAAAAGCGCAUGUGCUGUGAGCUCGAUGAGUAGGGCGGGACACGUGGUAUCCUGUCUGAAUAUGGGGGGACCAUCCUCCAAGGCUAAAUACUCCUGACUGACCGAUAGUGAACCAGUACCGUGAGGGAAAGGCGAAAAGAACCCCGGCGAGGGGAGUGAAAAAGAACCUGAAACCGUGUACGUACAAGCAGUGGGAGCACCCUUUUGGGUGUGACUGCGUACCUUUUGUAUAAUGGGUCAGCGACUUAUAUUCUGUAGCAAGGUUAACCGAAUAGGGGAGCCGUAGGGAAACCGAGUCUUAACCGGGCGUUAAGUUGCAGGGUAUAGACCCGAAACCCGGUGAUCUAGCCAUGGGCAGGUUGAAGGUUGGGUAACACUAACUGGAGGACCGAACCGACUAAUGUUGAAAAAUUAGCGGAUGACCUGUGGCUGGGGGUGAAAGGCCAAUCAAACCGGGAGAUAGCUGGUUCUCCCCGAAAGCUAUUUAGGUAGCGCCUCGUGAAUUCAUCUCCGGGGGUAGAGCACUGUUUCGGCUAGGGGGCCAUCCCGGCUUACCAACCCGAUGCAAACUGCGAAUACCGGAGAAUGUUAUCACGGGAGACACACGGCGGGUGCUAACGUCCGUCGUGAAGAGGGAAACAACCCAGACCGCCAGCUAAGGUCCCAAAGUCAUGGUUAAGUGGGAAACGAUGUGGGAAGGCCCAGACAGCCAGGAUGUUGGCUUAGAAGCAGCCAUCAUUUAAAGAAAGCGUAAUAGCUCACUGGUCGAGUCGGCCUGCGCGGAAGAUGUAACGGGGCUAAACCAUGCACCGAAGCUGCGGCAGCGACACUGUGUGUUGUUGGGUAGGGGAGCGUUCUGUAAGCCUGUGAAGGUGUGUCGUGAGGCAUGCUGGAGGUAUCAGAAGUGCGAAUGCUGACAUAAGUAACGAUAAAGCGGGUGAAAAGCCCGCUCGCCGGAAGACCAAGGGUUCCUGUCCAACGUUAAUCGGGGCAGGGUGAGUCGACCCCUAAGGCGAGGCCGAAAGGCGUAGUCGAUGGGAAACAGGUUAAUAUUCCUGUACUUGGUGUUACUGCGAAGGGGGGACGGAGAAGGCUAUGUUGGCCGGGCGACGGUUGUCCCGGUUUAAGCGUGUAGGUGUGUGUUCCAGGUAAAUCCGGUUCACUUUAACACUGAGGCGUGAUGACGAGGCACUACGGUGCUGAAGCAACAAAUGCCCUGCUUCCAGGAAAAGCCUCUAAGCAUCAGGUAACAUCAAAUCGUACCCCAAACCGACACAGGUGGUCAGGUAGAGAAUACCAAGGCGCUUGAGAGAACUCGGGUGAAGGAACUAGGCAAAAUGGUGCCGUAACUUCGGGAGAAGGCACGCUGACACGUAGGUGAAGUGAUUUACUCAUGGAGCUGAAGUCAGUCGAAGAUACCAGCUGGCUGCAACUGUUUAUUAAAAACACAGCACUGUGCAAACACGAAAGUGGACGUAUACGGUGUGACGCCUGCCCGGUGCCGGAAGGUUAAUUGAUGGGGUCAGCGCAAGCGAAGCUCCUGAUCGAAGCCCCGGUAAACGGCGGCCGUAACUAUAACGGUCCUAAGGUAGCGAAAUUCCUUGUCGGGUAAGUUCCGACCUGCACGAAUGGCGUAAUGAUGGCCAGGCUGUCUCCACCCGAGACUCAGUGAAAUUGAACUCGCUGUGAAGAUGCAGUGUACCCGCGGCAAGACGGAAAGACCCCGUGAACCUUUACUAUAGCUUGACACUGAACAUUGAGCCUUGAUGUGUAGGAUAGGUGGGAGGCUUUGAAGCGUGGACGCCAGUCUGCGUGGAGCCGACCUUGAAAUACCACCCUUUAAUGUUUGAUGUUCUAACGUGGACCCGUUACCCGGGUUGCGGACAGUGUCUGGUGGGUAGUUUGACUGGGGCGGUCUCCUCCUAAAGAGUAACGGAGGAGCACGAAGGUUGGCUAAUCCUGGUCGGACAUCAGGAGGUUAGUGCAAUGGCAUAAGCCAGCUUGACUGCGAGCGUGACGGCGCGAGCAGGUGCGAAAGCAGGUCAUAGUGAUCCGGUGGUUCUGAAUGGAAGGGCCAUCGCUCAACGGAUAAAAGGUACUCCGGGGAUAACAGGCUGAUACCGCCCAAGAGUUCAUAUCGACGGCGGUGUUUGGCACCUCGAUGUCGGCUCAUCACAUCCUGGGGCUGAAGUAGGUCCCAAGGGUAUGGCUGUUCGCCAUUUAAAGUGGUACGCGAGCUGGGUUUAGAACGUCGUGAGACAGUUCGGUCCCUAUCUGCCGUGGGCGCUGGAGAACUGAGGGGGGCUGCUCCUAGUACGAGAGGACCGGAGUGGACGCAUCACUGGUGUUCGGGUUGUCAUGCCAAUGGCACUGCCCGGUAGCUAAAUGCGGAAGAGAUAAGUGCUGAAAGCAUCUAAGCACGAAACUUGCCCCGAGAUGAGUUCUCCCUGAGACUUAGAGUCUCCUGAAGGAACGUUGAAGACGACGACGUUGAUAGGCCGGGUGUGUAAGCGCAGCGAUGCGUUGAGCUAACCGGUACUAAUGAACCGUGAGGCUUAACCUUACAACGCCGAAGCUGUU